GCUCAGUGGAGUCAUUUUUAACUUGGAAAACUACAGAAACAUGCAAAAGGAAUAAGUAACAUUCUCAAGCAAUGUUUUAUAAAAUUGCUAUGAAGAGGCUUUCCAGCUGAUGGAACCGACACUGCUUGCAUUUCAAAUGCACACACAAAUAUGUAUAUAUAAAGGCGAAUAUUUUAACAGGAUAUCUCAACGCUGAAUUAAAAACGCAAGCAUACAGGGUUUUCCUUCCUCUGACUUUCAGAUUGCAUUCUAACUUGAAGAACUGAGUGAAAACAAGCAUUACAAAACAAAACUGAAUUGAACUACAAGUUCCUACAAUGUAGGCUGUCAAGAGCAUUUGUAUUCCUACGACUGAGAAAAUUAACAACGAAAAAUAUUGCAUCUGUAUUUUUUCAAAAACCAUCUAACAAGACAGCGAAGAGCACCUAGAAAAGUGUCAGAGGACAGCAAGCUCUUACAGAGUCUUACAUCAAGCAGUACCUAAAAGAAAGUACAACAGUAAGAGAAAUAUAAUUGGGAGGAAAGAAGUAACAAGAAAUAAAACCAGAAGAAAAGUCGUCCACAAUAGGUAAGAAACACAAUUUAACUGGACUUACUAAUCUAAAUGAUUCCAGUAUUGAAGUAAAAUCCCUGUGGUCCAUAAGCACAACCCUUAUGUAAGUAAAAAAAAAAAUAACAUAGUACUACCUCUCAAUUCAGUUGCUUCAUUACUCAAAGGAGCCCAACUGCAGUUUUCUAAAGACUGUGAAAGAAUCAGAGCUAUAUACUACAGCUUAUUGCAAGGGACAGACAAAAGAAACCCUUGCAUCAGAAGGCAGCAAACCAUAACUUAAAAUAAUCAGGAAAAAAAAAAAAUACUGAUUGAACAUACACAUGCUUGGAAUUUUCUUAAGGCUCUCCUUUCUGCUGAAUGUUCAAUUAAUGUCAGCUGCUUGCUACAGGUGGCUCUUUAUUUUUUAAAUGAAUGUUACCAGCCCGCUUGUCCCACGAAUGUUAUUUACAAUCACGUCUUUUAUUCUUGUUUUAGUUGACAGGACAAUCUCUUCAAGGAUCUGGGCAGAGCUGAUCUAUUUGAUUUGCAGGUUAUCUACUGCCUGCAGAUACAAGCACUUUGAUUGUUUACAAUGCAGGAGUAAUUGGUGACAGUUAAAUAACUCCAGAGACUGAUUUAAGAGUUCUUCACCUACUGCAUGAAGGUAGGGCUUCAUCCAACAGCCCUUCAUCUGGCUAAAUUCUUAAAGAUUUCAUUACAAAAAUAACAUAUUAAAAAAAUAUCAAACACUAUGAUGAUUAAAAUCAUCAAUUGCUUGCCAGCAUUACAUAUAAUUUUAAUGGUUUUAAAUGAAUUUGUAUUUAGAAAUGAAAAUUAUCAUAAGCAGCAGGUAUUUUCAAAUUUCUCAUUACAUUUGCAAAAUCGGUUGCAAAAAAUGAGUUCGUACUGCAAAGCAUUAAGUCAGAUUUCUACAGUGCUUCCUUCAGCAAACUAAUCCAAAAUGAGAACAUUAAAAGCAAAUUCAGCAAGUAUUCCUAUGAGGAAUUUUUGUGUUGUUUCAUUGGUAAUGCAUUGCUUGCUGAUUGCAUGUGUUCAAGCUGUGGAUAAUAUUUAAAACAACUUUUCUACAAAUUCGCCUAGCCUUGAGCAACCAAAGAGAAUGACUUUGCUAUAAAUAAAUCAGGGUAAUAUUUUGGUUAGGAAGAAAGUCACAGAGCACAUUUUAUUUGCUGACGCCAUUUUAUGGCCACUGAACUUUACUGUUUCACAAAAUGGUGUGGAAGCACAAUACCGGUAAGACUACACUGAUGGCUAAUGGAACAACUCUUAAGUUAUAUUCCAGACUUUUGAAGCAUAGUAACCAGACAACAGUAAUUAAAUAUAUCACUGAAGUUAUUUUACAUUGCUGGACAACACCAUUGUGGAUAUAGCCUGACUCAAG
Long non-coding RNA from Gallus gallus (chicken), 1934 nucleotides. The record is from Ensembl. NCBI's taxonomy places the organism in Eukaryota, Metazoa, Chordata, Aves, Galliformes, Phasianidae.